Molecule: long non-coding RNA, 5655 nt
Filed under: Fukomys damarensis (Damara mole-rat)
Lineage: Eukaryota; Metazoa; Chordata; Mammalia; Rodentia; Bathyergidae
Description: lncRNA (ENSFDAG00000022047.1)
Source: RNAcentral
UGGCCCAUAAAUAUUUGUAGAGAAAUCAGAAAAUGUAAAUUAAAACCACAGGAACCAGCCACCUAAACUGAUGGAAACAUCAGCCAGGACCAAGGACUGUGAGCAACCUGCAAACCCAGAGAGCCGGGCAAACACAGGCCAGGCUUCCGGCCGCCUGCCAGCCUGAUUGGGCAGUGAGGGUGAGACUCUCCCAUGGCUCGGGCUCCAGAGCUGCUCUCAAUGGCCUGGGUCACCUGUGCACUAGCAAAGAGUGAGCAGCACCUGCUCCCUGCUCCUCCCCUCUCUCCUGCCCAUCCUGAAAGCCUGCCCUGCCUCCCUGCUCCACCCUGAAUGGGGCAGUUAGUGGAACCUCAGCGCCCGGCGGUCUAUUGUCCCUGCCAGGGUCCCGUCCACCUACCAUCCGCCUGCAGCACUAAGGGUGAAGGCCUCGGGCGCCGUAGAGAAAACACAACUUCAAGGCCCGGUGCCUGCCGGGCCUUUCCUGCAGCACAAGCGGUGUGCUGCGUACCAGGGUAGGCCGGACCUGACCCCGGCGGGGCUGCGCCGGACGCCACGACGCAGAAGCCAGAGCUCGGACACCGCGCUGGCCCGAGGCGUAGCGACCUCGCAACGUCCGGCAAGAGAACUCUCGCUGCGCCGGGGCCGCCUUCCUCGCCACGCCCCCGCCUGGCCCCGCCCCGUCCCAGGCCACCAUGGAGGCGCCGAGACCUCCAGCCGCCUAGAGGGACCCGGAAGUACUCCGAGGCCAGUGACUGGAAUUUGGAAGUGGCCCGGCCGGCAGGAGUGGCGGCCACCACCCGGCUGUCCCCACGCCGCAGCGACAGCCCCGCCAGACGAUCUAGGGCGCACUUCUCACGUAUGUAGCAGCAGUCAACGGAGAAAUGCAAAUCCUGGUCACGGUCUCUAUAGUGCUUGAGGAAACUAACUAGAUCCCGGACUGACAAAUCUGUGGCCGCCUUCAUCCAUCGCCCAUACUCUUCCAGCUGAAGGGGGAAGAGCAGCUCUCUGUAACCCGGGCCCCUGCGAGGAUGUCCUGCUGCCUGCAAGCGCCCUGCUGUCGUGAGCGUGAGCGGACUGCUUGCCGCCAGUCAUACACAGCGCUGAAAUAUCACAGGGAUGUGUCACACAAGAAACCCAAAGUGUAAAUACAGGGCAAAACCAAAGAUGGGCGAUAGCAAACACGGAGGGAAGGGGAAGAGGGCUGGUGGAGGAAGGGACGAGGGGUGGAAAACAGUGAAGGUGUGUUGUGCACACGCGCAGCUUCCCGGGAGGAGCGUGAUCGUUGUGCACUGCAAACUGGACCGAUAAAAUUUUAACAGAGAAGGAGUGGCCGCCCUCCGCCAGGCUGAGGGUCGCGGUGCGUUCCGCCCUCCUCUGUCUCUAAAAACAGUGCCCCUGCAAGAUUGACACCAGGGAAGGUGGAUCAGCACUGUAAAGCCCUCAUAUGAUGCUCGGGGGCACAGCGUUACUUCUAUGGCAUCGUGACAAGUUGCACGCCGUCUAGCUCAUAGUGACCAAACAGCCAGCAAGCCCAUCCUCCAUGUGAAGUGUCACCCUCGAGGGGCUGAGUGUAGGACACGCUCUUUACUGUUCUUGAUUCAUUUGCUGUUUGAGAAAGGGUCCUACUUUCAUUUUAAUUCCCUGUGGCUGCUUUCCUUAUCAUAGGCAGUUAAUUUCAGGCUUUAGUUUUUAACUUUCCAGUGAAGCCAUUCAGAGAGGACCCUGGGAGACUCGUCACCGCGGUCCGGUCAUGGCAGUCCCCCGGCCCUGCCAGCACACACUUUCAAGGUGCACAAAGUGCUGGCUUCCCAAGAAAAGGCAGCAAGUGGCCAAGUCCAGGGUGGACCGAUGGAGGGACACUUUUACUCCCUGGGUGCCCUUCCCCAACACGGAAGCCGGAUCCCCGGCCCACCACUCUUCCUGGGGCCUAGGAAGGUAUUGUCCCCACCUCUGUGUGUGUGUGCUUCAGCCCGAGUCUUCAUAAUUUGAAUUCAAAGAGAUCAAACCUUCAGAUGGAGAACAAAUGGUCCCUGAAGGAGCAGGGAAGGUAAUGAAUCCCUUGGGUCCAAAUCAACAAUCACCCUCACUUCUCAGUACCGGAGAGUAUUGAGUCCCAGAGGGGAGGCUCCUCCAGGGUCCUGAUCACAUGAGGAUUGAUAAUAACUGUACUUCUUAAAGGGUGGGCCUCGAGUCUCUGCAGUGUGACACUGGCAGUGACACCUGUGCGUCAUUGACAGCUCUACCCUCCGCCUCUGUGCUCAUGACACGCAAGCCCUCUGAAGCCAUCCGGCCCAAAAGGCCACCGUGAGCACUGUCUUCAUCACUUUCCCAGCUGGACAUGGAGCCUGGCGGUGCAAACUUGAAGGGAUCUCAGUAAAGUCCAUCUCUUACACAAAGUCCCAUAAGGCAGACUAUGAGGCAGGCGCGGUGGAGCACACCUGUAAUCCCUGCACACAGGAGGUUGAGGCAGGAGGGUGGCUGGGAGUUCGAGGCCAGCCUGGGCUAUACAUGUUCAAGGCCAACUUGAACCACAUAGCAAGACUUUGUCUCAAAGAAAGAAAAAAGACUCCAGAAGGGUAAACAUACAGACACACUAGGAAAGUUUGCAACAUGUAAGGGAACCACUGUGUUUUGUUUUGUUAUGGUUUGGGGUUUUUUUGAUUGAUUGUUUGUUGUGGGGGGUUAUUGAUACACUUUAGAUAUACAUAAUGACAACAUUCAACUUUGAAUCUGCUGCUUUUUUACAAAGCCUUUAUUCCCAUUUCUUCCUGGUAUCCUUUUUUCUUUUCCCUUCCUCUCUCUCACUCCCCUGCUUUGUUCCCCUUCUCAUUUGAACAUUUCUUCCCAUUUCCCAAUAUCUGUUUUACAUUUUGGCACUCGUGAACACUUUUUGUUUCUCACACCUAAGAUGCAAUGCAUUUACACAUAUGUGUCCGAUUUUUUUCACUUAAGAGUGCGGUCUCAAGGUCUAUGCUUUUACUUAGACAUGUAUCCUUCUUUAUGGCAGAGUAGUUCCCCUUGUGUUAAAAACACACACCAUCUUUAUCCAUUCAUCAGUUGAUAGGCAUUUGGCCAUUUGCAAGAUUUAGCUAUUGCAAACUGUGCCACUAUAAAUAUGGGUAUUCAUAUAUUGCUGUAGUAAAAUUUUUUAAUUCUUUCAGAAAGACACCAAGAGGUUUACCAAGACCUAGCUAUCUCUAGGUCAAAUGGAACCUAUGGUUUUAGUUUUUUCAGGAAUCUCCACAGCGGUUUCCACAGUGGUUGCACCGGUCUGCACUCCCACCAACAAUGGAAAGGGUUCCUUUUUCCCCACAGCCCCACCAGCAUUUGUUGUUGGUUGACUUCUUGAUAGCCAUUCUUUCUAGAAUGACAUGGAAUCUCAGCACUGUUUUAAUUUGUGUUUCUCGAAUGACUAGUGGUGUUGAACAUUUUUUAUAUAUUUAUUUGCCUUUCUACUUCAUCUGAGAAGUGUGUUUUCAUUUCAGAUGUCCAUUUUUAGAUCGGAUCUUUAAAUUUUGGAGGGGGUCUCAUUUUUUCAAUUCUUCAUAUGUUCUAGAAAUUAGUCCUUUUUCUGAGGCACAGCUGACUAAAAUUUUUUCCCACUCUGAAUUGUCUCUUCAUUCUGUUGGUGAUUUCUUUUGCUAUGCAAAAGGUUUUUAAUAAGGUAAGAUCCCACUUGUUGAUGCUUUCUGAUAUUUCCUGUGUGACCAGGGUUUUGUCCAUAAAGUCUUUCUUACACCAGUGUCAAGAGUUCUACCCAUUCUCUUUUCUAAUAGAUUUACUCUUUCUGUUUUAAUAUUUAGAUCUUUGAUCCAUUUUGAUUUUAGUUUAGUGUGUGCUGAAAGAUAUGAAUUUAGUUUUAGUCUUUGGCAUGUGCAAAACCGGUUUUCCCUGCACUAUUUUAAUAAGAGGCUAUCUUUCUUCCACUUAUCCUUUGUCAAAGAUAAGGUGGCUGAGUGUGUUUGGAGUUCUUUCUGUAGCUUCUAUUCUGUUCCACUGAUGCUCAGGUCUGUAUCUUUGCCAGUACCAUGCUGUUUUUAUCACCAUAGCUCUGCAGUAUAACUUCAAAUAAAGGAUUGUGAUGCCCCUGUUUUAUCUUUGUUGCCCAGAAUUGUUUUUGCUAUUCUAUGUCUUUUCUGGUUCCAAAUGAAUUUUAGAAUUAUUUUCUCUAAUUCUGUGAUACAUGCCAUUGGUAUUUUGAUUGAGAUUGCAUUAAAUCUGUGGAACCAUUUGGAGAGCAUAGCCUUUUUCACUAUACUGGUUCUUCCUACCCAAGAACAAGGGAUAUGUUUCCAUUUCCUGUUAUCCUCUUUGAUCUCCUUUUUCAGAGUACUGUAGUUUUCCAUGUAAAGGUCUUUUACUUCCUUUGUUGGACUGAUUCUCAGUUAUUUAAUUUUUUGUAUGCUAUUGUGAAGGAGGUUGUUUCCCUAAUUUCUUUCUCAGUGAAUUGUUAUUUGUGUACAGGAAUGCUAUUGAUUUCUGUGUGUUGGCUUUGUAUCCAGCUAUGCAACUGAACUUGGUUAUUAAAUCGAAAAGCCUUUUGGUAUUUUGGGGGGGUCUUCUGCUAAUAAUGUCAUCUGCUAAUAAUGAUAAUUUGACUUCUUUCUUUUCUAUUCUAUUUGUUUUAUUUCUUUAUCUUGUUUAAUUAUUCUGGCUAAUGUUUCCAGAACUAUAUUGAAUAAAAGUGGUCAUAGUGGACCCCUUGUCUUGUUCCUGAUUUUAGAGUGAAAGCUUUCAGUUUUUAUCAAUUUAAUAUAAUGUUGAGAGUUUGUUUGUCAUAGAUGUAUUUUAUCAGCACCUUCUACUCCAAUUUGUUUAUCAUGAAUGUGUGUUGGACUUUGUCAAAUGCUUUUUCUGCAUCUAUUGAGAUCACAUGGUUUUUGCCCUUGGCUUUAUUAAUAUAGUGUAUAACUUUUUUUUUUAAUACCAAGGAUCCAACUCCAGUCCUUACACUUAUGAGGUAGGUAGCAAAACCACUGAGCUAAAUCCCCAGCCCUAACAUUUAUUGAUUUGUAUGUGUUAAACUAUCCCUGCAUGCCUGGGAUGAACCAUACUUGGUUGUGGUGUAUAAUUGUCUUGAUGAUUUGCUGCAUUUUGUUUGUGAGUAUCUUAUUAAGGAAUUUUGUGUCUAUGUUCAUUAGGGAGGUUAGCCUGUAAUUCUCUUUUUUGGUUGGAUCCUCCUCUGGUUUUAGUAUCAGCAUAAUGCUUGCUUUCAGGAAUGAAUUUGGGAGUAUUGCUUUCACUAGAGUCUGAGAAGUAGCAGCGCUAAGUCUUUUCUACAUUUCUUAUAAAAUUCAGCAGUAAAGCCAUCAGGGCCUGAACUUUUCUUUGUUGGUAGGAUUUUAAUUACAUCUUCAAUCUCAUUGACUGAUAUUGGUUUAUUUAGAAUUUGUAUAUCUUGCCGGGGAUUUAGCUCAGUGGUUCGGUGGCCUGCCUUGCAAGCGCAAGGACCUGAGUUCAAUCCCCGGUACCAAAAAAAAUAAAGAAAGAAAGAAUUUGUAUAUCUUGCCGGGGAUUUAGCUCAGUGGUUCGGUGGCCUGCCUUGCAAGCGCAAGGACCUGAGUUCAAUCCCCGGUACCAAAAAAAAUAAAGAAAGAAAGAAUUUGUAUAUCUUCUUGAUUUAGCUUUGAUAAUUCAUAUGCAUCUAAAAAUCUG